Molecule: long non-coding RNA, 373 nt
Filed under: Capsicum annuum
Lineage: Eukaryota; Viridiplantae; Streptophyta; Magnoliopsida; Solanales; Solanaceae
Description: long non-coding RNA (CANN_LNC012725)
Source: RNAcentral
ACUAAUAACGUUCACCGAAGACCCUCCCAUGACCAACUUAAUAGACAUCGGUCUAUCACUAACUCUCUUUACCUCUACCACCUGCUCCCUAAGAUCUUCAUCUACUAAGAUACCUACCUCAUUUCUAUGUCUUACGCUACCCGAGUACCAUAACUCAUAUCUAUCCACAUCUCUCGCUUUAGUGUCUACCUAUUUAGUUUUCUGGACACACGCUACAAUAACCCUCCUCUUUCUAAGAAUCUUCACCAGCUCUAUAGACUUACCCUGCAAAGUACCGAUGUUCCAAGACCUAACUCGCAACCUAGAAGCUCCCUUAUCCCGCCCAACCUUACUACCCCUAGCCCUUAACCCCAAACUCGAUCCUAGACCUGAC